Long non-coding RNA from Spinacia oleracea (spinach), 449 nucleotides. RefSeq lists it as uncharacterized. The record is from RefSeq and is a predicted model, not a curated record. Lineage: Eukaryota; Viridiplantae; Streptophyta; Magnoliopsida; Caryophyllales; Amaranthaceae. The transcript is spliced from 4 exons.
AUACGUAUUUUGCCUUUAAUUUACCCGGAAAAAUCAAGAUUUGCGAAAACACGGCUCGAAGAGAAAAAUCCUAGAUUCCGCCGCGAAGAAGGAGACAUUUCAAAGCAGUGCAGCUCGAUUGCUAGCGAGUCUCCGAUCCAAUUCUGCGAAUUAGUUCGUCGGCGAUUUAGCCUAUUUCUAGGGUUUUUAAGGUUGGGUGAAACGCCAAACCGUUGGAGCUGGAUCUUCGGUUAACGUCGCCGCCGUCAUUGAUUACCUUAUUUCUUAGAUGGUGCCUGAUAUUGUAGAGGGUGAUGGGUUUGUUGGGAGGCAGCCUCAUAUCAAGUAUGAGCUCAGAGAUAGUCCUGGUCUUGUGAAUGUAGGAGGAUACAACCAAUGUGUAUUCUUCAACUGCAGUUAUAGUAGUUCGGAUACUCCACUGAGUGAGGGUCAGUGCCAUUGGUUUUCUC